UGGGGAAUUUUGGACAAUGGGGGAAACCCUGAUCCAGCCAUCCCGCGUGUGCGAUGAAGGCCUUCGGGUUGUAAAGCACUUUUGGCAGGAAAGAAACGUCAUGGGUUAAUACCCCGUGAAACUGACGGUACCUGCAGAAUAAGCACCGGCUAACUACGUGCCAGCAGCCGCGGUAAUACGUAGGGUGCAAGCGUUAAUCGGAAUUACUGGGCGUAAAGCGUGCGCAGGCGGUUCGGAAAGAAAGAUGUGAAAUCCCAGAGCUCAACUUUGGAACUGCAUUUUUAACUACCGGGCUAGAGUGUGUCAGAGGGAGGUGGAAUUCCGCGUGUAGCAGUGAAAUGCGUAUAUAUGCGGAGGAACACCGAUGGCGAAGGCAGCCUCCUGGGAUAACACUGACGCUCAUGCACGAAAGCGUGGGGAGCAAACAGG
RNAcentral lists this ribosomal RNA (429 nucleotides) under Acidobacteriota bacterium. RNAcentral's name for it is "Acidobacteria bacterium partial 16S ribosomal RNA". It matches the Rfam family "Bacterial small subunit ribosomal RNA", at positions 355 to 776 of the family's 1533-position model. The record is from RNAcentral. Lineage: Bacteria; Pseudomonadati; Acidobacteriota.